GGUCGGGGACAACCACUGAAAACGGUGGCUAUUUCCGGAUGUGCCGAGAGGUGAAAGAUUAAUUGCCUAGAGAUGAGCUCGCGUCUGAUUAGCUAGUUGGUAGUGCAAGAGACUACCAAGGCGACGAUCAGUAGCUGGUCUGAGAGGAUGAUCAGCCACACUGGGACUGAGACACGGCCCAGACUCCUACGGGAGGCAGCAGUGGGGAAUUUUCCGCAAUGGGCGAAAGCCUGACGGAGCAAUACCGCGUGAGGGAGGAAGGCUCUUGGGUUGAAGAGCUGUUUUCUCAGGGAAGAACAAAAUGACGGUACCUGAGGAAUAAGCAUCGGCUAACUCCGUGCCAGCAGCCGCGGUAAU
This 357-nucleotide ribosomal RNA is filed under the name uncultured Nostoc sp. RNAcentral describes it as "bacterial SSU rRNA". It matches the Rfam family "Bacterial small subunit ribosomal RNA", at positions 135 to 524 of the family's 1533-position model. Lineage: Bacteria; Bacillati; Cyanobacteriota; Cyanophyceae; Nostocales; Nostocaceae. The record is from RNAcentral.